This is a long non-coding RNA of Syngnathus typhle (broad-nosed pipefish), 4117 nucleotides long. RefSeq lists it as uncharacterized. Lineage: Eukaryota; Metazoa; Chordata; Actinopteri; Syngnathiformes; Syngnathidae. The transcript is spliced from 2 exons. The record is from RefSeq and is a predicted model, not a curated record.
CUUUAAUGAGUGCCUUUGGAGCGAGUUCUUGCCGUCUAUGUAAAUGUAUUCAAAGUCCAAAGUGCUCAAAGAGCUUCAUUUGCCAUUAACUGUGAGUCUUUUUAUCAGAUGACUCCACUCUUUCACAGAACCAAAAUGCAACAACUUCUAUGGGGGUACACUACCAAGCUACAUGCAGACAUCAACGAUUAUACGUAACCCAGUUUGCAGCGAAACCAUGUGGACAGCAUACUAUAUAUAAAAAUGUCCAUUGUCUCUUCGCAAGCCAAGGCCACCACAUAAUGCCAGAGGUCAAUUAUUGACAGGUUCAUAAUGGCAAGCUCAAAGGAACUUGGUUAAUGUAUAGAGUUUUGAAAGAAUGUUUGGCUACAUUUCCUCUUCUUCAACAAAAGCACCAAAUGUUUAGAACAAACACGAGGGGCGAUGGUGUUUUCAGUGAUUGACAGAUAGCGCUGUUCAGGUGAUGAAUUGAGGGUGAAAGUUCAAAAGAUGUAAUUUCCUGUUUGAUAGCACUACCACAAAAAUGGCGGCAUGUCAUCAUCUUUGUUUGUAUGCAUGGUGUCAGGUCUAAGUACCAUCAAAAUUAGCCUCCGGUUGACCUUGUAUGAAACUUACUUCUACAAUUGUGGCUGCAGGCCACCCUGAACAUGAUAAGUGGUAUAGAAAAUUGAUGGAUGGAUGGAUGGAUGGAUGGAUGGAUGGAUGGAUGGAUGGAUGGAUGGAUGGAUGGAUGGAUGGAUGGAUGGAUGGAUGGAUGGACGGAUGGAGGGACAGAUUGAGGGACAGAUGGAGGGACGGACGGAUUUAAUAGCAGUGUAAUGUUUUUUUCUUGCGCGGAUUUUACUCCAGCUUCCACCUGCAUCACCACAACCUGCUUCUUUGGUAAACUGAGGACUCUAAAUGCCAAUAGGGGUGAAAGUCCAGUGUAACCUGCUGAGGACAAACACGACAAAAUAAAAAUGUGGAUGAAUGGAUGGAAUGUUUACAGUAAAUAGAUAAAAAAAUAAAUGCAGAAAAGCAAAACAACAAGUGGGUGUUUGUAUUUAGUUUUAGUUUCCCUAAAUAGGUCUUUUGGAUUUCAAAUAAUGAAUCAUAAUUCAAGGUUAAUGACCUGGUGUCCUUAGUGUAAUAAACACCGCCGCCAUUAAACAUUCAUUGUUCCUCCCUGCGUGUUGGAGGUGCUUGUGAGUUAGCAGAAUUCCUUGAAACUUGACUGGCUAACCCUACUCGCGUUGGAACGGACGCUCUUGCGAAACAUUUGGUUACAAAUUAAUCUACGUCUCACUCACAUUUAGCCGCCACUUACACCGGUCCAAAAUUUAGCCCUCAAUCCUUCCAAUAAUUCAUGUGAUGGUUAAUAUUUGAGGGAGAUAGAUGAGCCAAGCCACAGAAAUAUACCCCAGCACUUUUGAAAUGGAGAUACAUUGCGUGUUAUACAGUUCCAUAAUAGAGGUUAUGAAACUUAAAAACAAAGAGGAAACAACCUUCUCAAGGAAAUGGGUCAGCAUUUUGGGACACUCCUCGGACAGUUGUCAGUGUUGUCACAACUCAUAUGACUCACUGAAUCAUGUUAAAGACCCUGUAAAGUGAAGAUAUAUGGUUGAAUUGUUUUGUACCAGUUCAGGUUUUCUAAUUUUUUGGGAUGUGGCUAAAAUGGAGCCUGGAGACUGCCUCCCCCACCAAGGAGGAUGAGCGAGCUGCCCGACCGCAGGCUGAGAGGUUCUCCUGUAGUCAGCUUGUGAGCUUGCUGGUGGCUUGCAUCACAGCUUGGAAAGCCCUGCGAUGACACGGUGGGAUAUAUUCCAGCCAGCAUAUUCUCUGGAAGCAGAUACAUUUUUGGAGCUCAAAGCUGCAGGGAUGUUUAGCAUGCCUCGCAGCAUUUAAGGGCGGAGAAAAGCCAUGAUCUGUUGUGACAUCAAAGUCUCAGUUGAUGUUUAUUUUUUUUUUCCAAUCAUUAAAACUUGGCAGGGCUGAUAUCUCUUCUCUGUGGUGUGUCAAAUUUACAAGACAAGUUUUCUUUGUCUGAUAUGUGAGUGAGUAGAAUAUUUCGUUCUUACUUUAUUUGAUCUCCUGCUCUAUGGUCCAAUGUGACAUCAUAAUUCAUCAUAAUCUACCAAGAGUUAGAAGAUCAAGGGACAAUAGAGGCCCUCGUUACUCAAGGUCAUUUGGUUUACCCUCUGUGACUGCCGCAAUAUAAGUCACACAACCAUUAACAGAUACUUUUACUGCUGUGGGAAUAUUAUGCUGUAAAUCAGGCUUGCGUCUCAUACACUAUUAUGAAAAUCCAAUCCAAGUCGCCAUGCAGCGAGACAUUCCUUACCGAGUCUGAGAAAAAAGCUUGGAUGGAGGUCAAACGGUUCAGUUGUGACGUCAAGAUUUGUAUCGUGGCUAUGGAUCAUGGCCCAAUUGCAUUCAGUGUCAACAAAGCUUGUGCAUACGUGUGUGUGUGUGUGCGAGUGUGCUUUGUCUUUUAAAAGGUCUCACUUCCUGCCCUUCACCAUCUUGACCUCUAAACCAUGGCGGCGGCCAUUGCACAGAGAUCAGCAUUCAACCAGCCUUCAUUUUUUUUCUUUGCCUUCACGAAAACACAUUCCAAAUAUGCCCACCUCAGUUAAUAGAAUGUAGGGUAAUAUUUGUAUGUUAAAACUGAACAUUUCCUUUUUUGUUUAUACCCAAUGAAUAAUCAAACAACUAGUUUUUCAUAGGCGAUUGCAUCGAUGCGUUGGAGCCACUGAUGAUGCGUCCACGAUGCAAGUUUUUUGAGUUGCGGCCAAAAGAGGAGUCACCUUGUCCUUGCGUGAGCUCUGCACCACUUCCUGUCUUCCCUCUGUGUCCAGCCCACCUUGCUUAUGACUAUUUCCUGCUUUCAUCUGCACAACCUUGUCCUCAUUGCCCCAGCUGCACAUGCGGGCUGAGGUUUUCAAUAACCUCUGCGGCAGACAUCGGUCAUGUUCCCAUAUAACUAACUACAGUACAAUGCAGCUUCCGCUAUGCAAUUACUGUACAGUACAUCCUCUCCCUCCCGAAGAGGAGCUGCAAUAAACUCCGCCUCCUCGUCUUCUCUGUGGAUCACCUGAGUGGUGAACCAGGAAAUAGAGGCGUUGCGGCAAGUGCAAUGUCCUUCAAGGGAUCUCCUUCAACUGAACUCAGGCUCAUUUCUGCAGGCUCAUUGUUAGAAUCUUACGUCGAGCGCUCUCUCACACACAUGCACGCACACACACACAUGCACAGGCACACACAAGAGUCUUUUGUCAGCAUGUCUAGCGGUAUGUUAUCAGUGGCAACAAAAUAAUUGCACAUACGGGACAGAAUGUACAGAGAGAUAGGGAGAGAAAGAGAGAGCAAGAGAGGGCAUAGCGACUCGGAUUUCAGGGAGUUCUUCCUUCAAAAGCACACUGUCCUCCAAAUGUCACCAAUGAUGGAAAAGUACUGUCCCACCCAAAAGAACUUCUCCUUCAGUUGGGGAUUAAGCGGCUUCUUUUGCUUUCGCUCUUCCUCGGAGCAAGCCUUCCGAUUUAAAAAAUGUUGACAAAAUAUGUCAGUACUUUACAUUCUGUAUCUUUGUUGUACAAUAGAUACAAUGUGAUACAGUUGGCAUUGCUAAAGGCAUAGCUGUUGUGAUAUUUUGUGUUGUGACUACAUGAUUACAAUCAAGUACAGUAGACAUAAAUUGCUAAACAAUUGCUUCUCAAUUUGAAUUAAGCAGACUAUGGUACCAGUGGAUCACUAUGCUACACUAGAGCAGGGUUCACCUACGGGCACUAGGUUACCUCCAAGUACUACUGGUGACUUGAUUUGCUAUUUUAGGAGUGCAUACCAAAUUGGAAGUCUUGACCCGGACAAUACAUUUACAGUAUGUGGCUGUUUGAUGUGUUAGACCUUAAAUGUGGGCACAAUGGGCUAGUCCCUUGGGUACCUCAAGGGCAAGUCCUUGUAUAUGUUUCCACAGCAAGUUUAGUUACAGUACGUGUAUAUGCCGAGGAGCAUCAGAGGAAUGACUGUGCAGAUAUCAUGUUUGCUGUAUGGCGAAUGUACAUCUUAUAUACAGUGCUAGGAUGCAAAGGAGUGGAAAAUUUCAAGUGUAUUUCCAGAAUGUUUGGAGUAAAAUUCUGAAAGA